CCGCUCUGGGUUAGUCGGGUCCUAAGCUGAGGCCGACAGGCGUAGGCGAUGGAUAACAGGUUGAUAUUCCUGUACCACCUAGUAUCGUUUUAAUCGAUGGGGGGACGCAGUAGGAUAGGCGAAGCGUGCUGUUGGAGUGCACGUCCAAGCAGUAAGGCUGAGUGUUAGGCAAAUCCGGCACUCAUAAGGCUGAGCUGUGAUGGGGAGAGGAAAUUGUUUCCUCGAGUCGUUGAUUUCACACUGCCGAGAAAAGCCUCUAGAUAGAUAACAGGUGCCCGUACCGCAAACCGACACAGGUAGUCAAGAUGAGAAUUCUAAGGUGAGCGAGCGAACUCUCGUUAAGGAACUCGGCAAAAUGACCCCGUAACUUCGGGAGAAGGGGUGCUCUUUAGGGUUCACGCCCAGAAGAGCCGCAGUGAAUAGGCCCAAGCGACUGUUUAUCAAAAACACAGGUCUCUGCUAAACCGUAAGGUGAUGUAUAGGGGCUGACGCCUGCCCGGUGCUGGAAGGUUAAGAGGAGUGGUUAGCUUCUGCGAAGCUACGAAUCGAAGCCCCAGUAAACGGCGGCCGUAACUAUAACGGUCCUAAGGUAGCGAAAUUCCUUGUCGGGUAAGUUCCGACCCGCACGAAAGGCGUAACGAUUUGGGCACUGUCUCAACGAGAGACUCGGUGAAAUCAUAGUACCUGUGAAGAUGCAGGUUACCCGCGACAGGACGGAAAGACCCCGUGGAGCUUUACUGUAGCCUGAUAUUGAAAUUCGGCACAGCUUGUACAGGAUAGGUAGGAGCCUUUGAAACGUGAGCGCUAGCUUACGUGGAGGCGUUGGUGGGAUACUACCCUAGCUGUGUUGGCUUUCUAACCCGCACCACUUAUCGUGGUGGGAGACAGUGUCAGGCGGGCAGUUUGACUGGGGCGGUCGCCUCCUAAAAGGUAACGGAGGCGCUCAAAGGUUCCCUCAGAAUGGUUGGAAAUCAUUCAUAGAGUGUAAAGGCAUAAGGGAGCUUGACUGCGAGACCUACAAGUCGAGCAGGGUCGAAAGACGGACUUAGUGAUCCGGUGGUUCCGCAUGGAAGGGCCAUCGCUCAACGGAUAAAAGCUACCCCGGGGAUAACAGGCUUAUCUCCCCCAAGAGUUCACAUCGACGGGGAGGUUUGGCACCUCGAUGUCGGCUCAUCGCAUCCUGGGGCUGUAGUCGGUCCCAAGGGUUGGGCUGUUCGCCCAUUAAAGCGGUACGCGAGCUGGGUUCAGAACGUCGUGAGACAGUUCGGUCCCUAUCCGUCGUGGGCGUAGGAAAUUUGAGAGGAGCUGUCCUUAGUACGAGAGGACCGGGAUGGACAUACCUCUGGUGUACCAGUUGUCGUGCCAACGGCAUAGCUGGGUAGCUAUGUAUGGACGGGAUAAGUGCUGAAAGCAUCUAAGCAUGAAGCCCCCCUCAAGAUGAGAUUUCCCAACUUCGGUUAUAAGAUCCCUCGAAGAUGACGAGGUUAAUAGGUUCGAGGUGGAAGCGUGGUGACACGUGGAGCUGACGAAUACUAAUCGAUCGAAGACUUAAUCAAUUUUUUAAA
Molecule: ribosomal RNA, 1565 nt
Filed under: Staphylococcus epidermidis
Lineage: Bacteria; Bacillati; Bacillota; Bacilli; Caryophanales; Staphylococcaceae
Description: partial 23S ribosomal RNA
Rfam family: Bacterial large subunit ribosomal RNA
Source: RNAcentral